UACGUAGGUGGCAAGCGUUGUCCGGAUUUACUGUGCGUAAAGAGCGCGCAGGCGGUCGUUCAAGUCGCGUGUGAAAGCCCCCGGCUCAACUGGGGAGGGUCACGCGAUACUGAUCGACUCGAAGGCAGGAGAGGGUAGUGGAAUUCCCGGUGUAGUGGUGAAAUGCGUAGAUAUCGGGAGGAACACCAGUGGCGAAGGCGACUACCUGGCCUGUUCUUGACGCUGAGGCGCGAAAGCUAGGGGAGCAAACGGG
This 253-nucleotide ribosomal RNA is filed under the name uncultured bacterium. RNAcentral's name for it is "partial 16S ribosomal RNA". It matches the Rfam family "Bacterial small subunit ribosomal RNA", at positions 524 to 776 of the family's 1533-position model. The record is from RNAcentral.